RNAcentral lists this transfer RNA (76 nucleotides) under Ramlibacter alkalitolerans. Its description in RNAcentral is "tRNA-Glu". It matches the Rfam family "tRNA". Rfam says of the family: Transfer RNA (tRNA) molecules are approximately 80 nucleotides in length. Their secondary structure includes four short double-helical elements and three loops (D, anti-codon, and T loops). Lineage: Bacteria; Pseudomonadati; Pseudomonadota; Betaproteobacteria; Burkholderiales; Comamonadaceae. The record is from RNAcentral.
GUCCCGUUCGUCUAGCGGCCCAGGACACCACCCUUUCACGGUGGGCACACCGGUUCGAUUCCGGUACGGGACUCCA